CACUCGCCUAGUUUUUAGUUCGUUUUGUCUGCCACCAGAGGAAGUGGUGAAUGUGUUUCCUGCUCCGUCUCUCCUUUCAAACAGUAACCCAGUGGUGUGAAUGCACUUGCAGUGAGAGAGAGGAGGGGAAAGCAGAGCUCCAGCAAAGGCAGGUCUGGCCAAAUGCGAAUGAAGAAAAUGGCGAUCAUGCAGGACGAAUGCCUCCCUUCAUAGAUGCUGCAAAAGCGUUCAAAAGUCGUUCAGCCUUACAGCCAGCUUUCUAUUCCACUCUGUUGCACUUUAUACUUCAAAGAGAGAUUCGGAAUUGAAAGCUGUUGCCACCAAAGAAACUAAAGCAUCUUGACAGGAAAUCCGCCUACAGAACGAUCAACUGUGAAUGGAAGACAACGUCACGAGGAAGGCCCAGGUACAGGACAGGACAAAAGGUAAGACUAGGCUCUCUAAACAACCUGCAUACAUUUACACCUUCCAAUACAGUUUCUCUUUUAUUCCCCUAAGUCCAAACUCCAAACACUGUGCCG
This 521-nucleotide long non-coding RNA is filed under the name Neogobius melanostomus (round goby). RNAcentral's name for it is "lncRNA (ENSNMLG00000016960.1)". The record is from RNAcentral. Lineage: Eukaryota; Metazoa; Chordata; Actinopteri; Gobiiformes; Gobiidae.